This 270-nucleotide ribosomal RNA is filed under the name uncultured bacterium. Its description in RNAcentral is "partial 16S ribosomal RNA". It matches the Rfam family "Bacterial small subunit ribosomal RNA", at positions 793 to 1055 of the family's 1533-position model. The record is from RNAcentral.
GUCCUAGCCGUAAACGAUGGACACUGGGUGUUGGCACCGUUAAGGUGUCAGUGCCGAAGGUAACCCGUUAAGUGUCCCACCUGAGGAGUACGGCCGCAAGGUUGAAACUCAAAGGAAUUGACGGGGGCCAGCACAAGCGGUGGAACAUGUGGUUCAAUUCGAUGCUACGCGAAGAACCUUACCCAGGCUUGACAUGCUUGAAGUAGGAACCUGAAAGGGCCACGACUCGUAUCCAGUCGAGAACUUGCACAGGUGCUGCAUGGCUGUCGU